RNAcentral lists this unclassified non-coding RNA (347 nucleotides) under uncultured fungus. RNAcentral's name for it is "partial contains ITS1, 5.8S rRNA and ITS2". Lineage: Eukaryota; Fungi. The record is from RNAcentral.
AACGCAAGUUGCGGUUUUCUUUCGAAAACCAUGUUUGCCUGAGGGUUGUUUCACACAAAUUGAGGCGUGUCAUUUCCCAUAAAAAAGAGAUGACUCCCUUUAAAUGAUUUUGAAUUUCCCCUCCCGAUCUUUUGUGACUUGAAGAAAAAUUAAUUUUUUUUCAAAAAACGAAAUCUCUCCAUUUUUUUCUUUUAUUAGAGCAAAAAAAAAAAACUUACAUACUUAAAAACUUUUUUUUUUCUUUAUCAUUGAAAACAAAGAGAAGGAGCUCAUUAAGUACCUACCAAAAAAAAAAAAUUAAUUAAUAACGCAACCUCAGAUCAAGCAAGACUACCCGCUGAACUUAA